GGGGGACAUCGCAGCCUCCCCAUCACAUGGUAAUCCCGUUCAAGCGCUGC
Molecule: non-coding RNA, 50 nt
Filed under: unclassified sequences
Description: chromate-resist RNA
Rfam family: chrB-b RNA
Source: RNAcentral